Molecule: ribosomal RNA, 599 nt
Filed under: uncultured bacterium
Lineage: Bacteria
Description: bacterial SSU rRNA
Rfam family: Bacterial small subunit ribosomal RNA
Source: RNAcentral
GUUUGAUCAUGGCUCAGGAUGAACGCUGGCGGUAUGCUUAACACAUGCAAGUCGAACGGAAACCUUCGGGUUUUAGUGGCGGACGGGUGAGUAACGCGUGAGAAACCGCCCCUUGGUUCGGGACAACAGCUGGAAACGGCUGCUAAUACCGAAUGUGGCGAAAGCUGAAAGAUUUAUCGCCAAGGGAAGUGCUCGCGUCUGAUUAGCUAGUAGGUUGGGUAAUGGCCGACCUAGGCGACGAUCAGUAGCUGGUCUGAGAGGAUGAUCAGCCACACUGGGACUGAGACACGGCCCAGACUCCUACGGGAGGCAGCAGUGGGGAAUUUUCCGCAAUGGGCGCAAGCCUGACGGAGCAAUACCGCGUGAGGGAUGAAGGCUCUUGGGUCGUAAACCUCUUUUCUCAGGGAAGAAUACUGACGGUACCUGAGGAAUAAGCAUCGGCUAACUCCGUGCCAGCAGCCGCGGUAAUACGGAGGAUGCAAGCGUUAUCCGGAAUUAUUGGGCGUAAAGCGUCCGCAGGUGGUUUUUCAAGUCUGUUUUCAAAGAGCGAGGCUCAACCCUUGUAAAGGGGAUGGAAACUGAAAGACUAGAGUUCGGGG